UACGUAGGGUGCGAGCGUUGUCCGGAAUUAUUGGGCGUAAAGGGCUCGUAGGCGGUCUGUCGCGUCAGGAGUGAAAACUCGGGGCUUAACCCCGAGCCUGCUUCUGAUACGGGCAGACUAGAGGUAUGCAGGGGAGAACGGAAUUCCUGGUGUAGCGGUGAAAUGCGCAGAUAUCAGGGGGAACACCGGUGGCGAAGGCGGUUCUCUGGGCAUUACCUGACGCUGAGGAGCGAAAGCGUGGGGAGCGAACAGG
RNAcentral lists this ribosomal RNA (253 nucleotides) under uncultured bacterium. RNAcentral describes it as "partial 16S ribosomal RNA". It matches the Rfam family "Bacterial small subunit ribosomal RNA", at positions 524 to 776 of the family's 1533-position model. The record is from RNAcentral.